GUUGCUGUAGUGGGGGUUGUAGUUGAUGAACACGAACCCCCGUGCCUGAUCGAUGCAGUGAAACAGGGGGUUCCAGUCAAACAUGGCCAGCAUGAAGCUGGGCAAUGUAUUGGCCAGAAACAUUUUGCCCGAUGCGAUCAUGUUGGCGCGCUG
This 153-nucleotide non-coding RNA is filed under the name Ruegeria sp. R11. RNAcentral's name for it is "Ruegeria cis2 sRNA". It matches the Rfam family "Ruegeria cis2 sRNA". From Rfam's summary of the family: Cis-encoded. Targets ABC transporter. Lineage: Bacteria; Pseudomonadati; Pseudomonadota; Alphaproteobacteria; Rhodobacterales; Roseobacteraceae. The record is from Rfam by way of RNAcentral.